GAAGAACACCGGUGGCGAAGGCGCUCUGCUAGGCCGUAAUUGACACUGAGGGACGAAAGCUAGGGGAGCGAAUGGGAUUAGAUACCCCGGUAGUCCUAGCCGUAAACGAUGGAUACUAGGCGUUGCGAGUAUCGACCCUCGCAGUGCCGGAGCCAACGCGUUAAGUAUCCCGCCUGGGGGAGUACGGCACGCAAGAUGUAGAAACUCAAAGGAAUUGACGGGGGGCCUCGCACAAGCGGUGGAGCUAUGUGGUUUAAUUCGAUGCAACGCGCAAGAACCUUACCAAGACUUGACAUGUCGCGAAUCCUCUUGAAAGGGAGGAGUGCCUUAUGGAGCGCGAACACACGUGGUGCAUGGCUGUCGUCAGCUCGUGUCGUGAGAUGUUGGGUUAAGUCCCGCAACGAGCGCAACCCUCGUUUUUAGUUGCCAGCAUUAAGUUGGGCACUCUAUAGAGACUGCCGGUGACAAACCGGAGGAAGGUGGGGGAUGACAUCAAGUCAGCCUGCCCCUUACGUCUUGGGGCUACACACGUACUACAAUGCUACGAACAGAGGGCAGCAAGCUAGCGAUAGCAAGCAAAUCC
RNAcentral lists this ribosomal RNA (583 nucleotides) under Nostoc sp. BTA97. RNAcentral describes it as "bacterial SSU rRNA". It matches the Rfam family "Bacterial small subunit ribosomal RNA", at positions 701 to 1274 of the family's 1533-position model. The record is from RNAcentral. Lineage: Bacteria; Bacillati; Cyanobacteriota; Cyanophyceae; Nostocales; Nostocaceae.